GAAUAAUGUCACAUUUAUUAUAAAUGUUUUAACCGUCUUUGUCUGUAUUGUAGAUAUAGAUGAGUGUGCAGAGCUCACGACCUGUCCCAAUGCUAAGUUUGAGUGUAAGAACAAGCCUGGCUCUGUCAACUGCUUCUGUAGAUACCAGAAGUCCAAGGACACUGAUGGCUGUGGUGACUUUGCCAAUCCACCAGGGGGUAAUUUGUUCAACGUCUCUUUGGACUGGACAAAGAACAAAUCUGAUGGACUCAAACAGGUGUGUGUGUGUGUGUGUGUGUGUGUGUGUGUGUGUGUGUGUGUGUGUGUGUGUGUGUGUGUGUGUGUGUGUGUGUGUGUGUGUGUGUGUGUGAGUUUGUGUGUACAAAUUUCCACACUGCGUAAUGCAAAUCUGUUUCUCCUUCUUUCGCAGCUGGUGGACAUUCUGUCGAUGGGUUUCCAGAACAAAUUCUACAACGCAAGCAUGAAGGAUCCGGUGCAG
Molecule: long non-coding RNA, 478 nt
Filed under: Cottoperca gobio
Lineage: Eukaryota; Metazoa; Chordata; Actinopteri; Perciformes; Bovichtidae
Description: lncRNA (ENSCGOG00000009607.1)
Source: RNAcentral